This 111-nucleotide ribosomal RNA is filed under the name Octodon degus (degu). Lineage: Eukaryota; Metazoa; Chordata; Mammalia; Rodentia; Octodontidae. The record is from RNAcentral.
GUCUACGGCCAUACCACCCUGAACGUGCCCGAUCUCAUCUGAUCUCGGAAGCUAAGCAGGGUUGGGCCUGGUUAGUACUCAGAUGGGAGAAAAUUUAGGACACCACUGAGU